RNAcentral lists this unclassified non-coding RNA (286 nucleotides) under uncultured fungus. Its description in RNAcentral is "sequence contains ITS1, 5.8S rRNA gene". The stretch from base 238 to 286 matches the Rfam family "5.8S ribosomal RNA", at positions 1 to 49 of the family's 154-position model. Lineage: Eukaryota; Fungi. The record is from RNAcentral.
UUUCCGUAGGUGAACCUGCGGAAGGAUCAUUACUGAGCGAGGGUCCCGUGCGGGCCCAACCUCCCACCCCUUGUGUUUCCCACCUUUUGUUGCUUUGGCAGGUCGCCCGCGUGGCCGCCGGAACGAGUUCUCGUUCGGGCGUAAGCGGGCGGUCCUCUCCCGGCCCGCCCCGCCUGCCAGAGGUCGUCUAACCUUCGAAUCAAUCGUGGUCGUCUGAGUAUAUUUUGAAUCAUACAAAACUUUCAACAACGGAUCUCUUGGUUCUGGCAUCGAUGAAGAACGCAGC